CUCCUCUGCGUUACAGGGGAAUAAUAAUCCUUGCCCCGCUGGCCUGCCGGGUGGUGGCGGGAUACUACAUCCUGGUUGGGGAAGGAUCGGGCUUGGCAGAGACAAAACUAUCCCGCUGUGUGGCUAUUCACAACCCACCCAGAUUUAGGGGUUGGGUGGGGGGUAUUCAGGCCUCGGCCGACGCCCCAUCUCCCCACCCCGCAUAAAGGCGUUCGUGGGCAGUUAGGUUCUGCCGGACGCCGGGGACGGUGCGCGGGUGAGUGCCUCCGGGCACCGAGCGCGGGGCACGUGGCGCCCUCUGGGGACUGUCCGCGGCACUGCCGGGCGUCCAGCCUGGGAAGGCGCAGCUUCGCCGGGCACCUAUCGCACCCUCAGGCUCCGCGCGGCGCUCGGUACCUGGCUCAGCGCUGACCCCUCCACCUGGCUGAAGGCGGCAGCCCUGGGAGACUCCGGCACUCAGCCGGAGCAGGAGCGGCGCACCGUGGGAACCCAUACUGAAAGGGAAGCCUUGUCGGUUGCUCACUGCUGCAGACUCGAGGAAGGCCAUCUCCAAUCGCCCAGAAGCCACCUAAAGAAGGUACUGGCCUCCAUGUGCCGAACCUCUAAGUCUCCCAACUGUUCACAAAAAUACGAAGCCAUCUGGAAAAGGGAGCAUCCACAUGGAUGGAGGGAAACAAUUAAAAAUAAAGAACAAUAUAUUUGAGGCCAAAGAUCAUAUCUCGUAAUGAGAAGCAGCAUAAGAUGGAAGCAGCUGAAUGAAUAAAACUGAGAUGAAAUAAUUUGUCCAAAGUUACACAUUUGGUAAGCGGUGGAGCCUGGAUAAGAAUCCAGCCCUCUCCCCACCACCCGCCAAUCCCCACUCUGCCACUGGAAUUCUGCCUAAAAUGAAACAGCAACAGAACAGAGGUCAAGAACUUGGAAGGAUUCAUAUGGGAGAAACCAGGAACAUUAUGCUGUUGAGCAAUACUUCAGUUCCACAAGCUUGAUUGAAAACCCACUGGAAUCAGGCAGUCAUUGUACUGGGCAACAGGGAUACAGAAAUGAGUAAGACACAGUUCCUAACAUCAAGAAGGUAGACAGAAAUGUGAACAAAUAAAUAAUAAUUCAGCAUCACAGAUUCAAAAUAAAGAGAUAACACAGUUGGAAGAGAUCAGGAUCUCCACAUGGGACAGGAGGAGGGCAUCAAGGAAGCCCUCCUGGAAGAGGUUAACAAUAAGCUGAACAAUAUUUGCCAAAUAAGCUGAACAAUAUUUGCCAAGAUGAAACAGGCUUGGAUAGAUCCACAGACUGAAGAAGGUAAUUCCAGGGAGGGAACAGCAUUAGUGAAGUCACCAAGCAAUGUGGCGCCUAUAGGGAUCUCUAAGCUCAGUAUUUCUGUGUAACAAAAUACAAGAUAAUCAGAUCCUUUUGGAAAAAUAAUAACAAUAAUAAUUAUAACAGCCUAUACACAGAGUGCCUACCAUGUACCAGGCAGGGUUCUAAGUCUUUAUAUAUUAGCACAUUUAUUUUUUCCUACAACACUGUGACAUAUGCAUGAUUACAAUUCCUAUUUUAUAGAUGAAGAAACUGAGACACAGAGAGAUCAUCAUGUAAGAUGGUCAGUAUCACACAGGCUCUCAGAAAGUAGGAUACAAUUUUUGUUUCUAUUAAAACAAGAUAACAACUAUUGAAAAAGUCUGGUCUAGUUUAAUCCAGGCUUGAUAUACUCAGAGGAAAGCAAGAAAGAAUAAAUUGUGAUUAAAGGAAGAGAACGGUUUUUAAGUCUUUGAAAAUAGUAGUUUUGUUGUUAUUGUCUUCUUAGCACAUAAGAACUUCUAAUGCACAUUAAUAGAAAGCAAAUAUUUCUUAUACAGUGAGCCAAAAAGAGUAUGAAAAGUGGAGAUAAGUAUGUUUUUUAAUAUUUUACACAAAGUUAUAUUAAAACUUUAUAAAGGUCCACUGGAUAUUUAUUUUCCUUCCUCCAGUAACAGUCUCAAAUAAAUAUAAUUACUUUUAGACAAUAAAGUGCUUCAAUAUCAUAUACUGAAAACCAAUAAAAAAUACCAGUCACUUGGAAGUGUUCCUGUUUGGAGGCUGACCUGGCCCUUCCACAGCAGAGUCAGAAGGUGAAAGGUUGAAAGUGUGUCCUUGAUUUUAGACUGAACAUAAAGUGUAGACUCAGGUUUUUUUUAAACCAAAGGUAAUUUUCUUCCCUUCUUUUUUUUUGGUUGUUAGUUAGCCACUGAUGUGUACAGUCUUAAGGAUCCAAGUCAAUUAGGACACUGUGUAUAACUUUUUCAACCUGAAGGCAGCAUGCCAUUCACAUUUAUAGGUAUUGUUCUCUGGAUAAAAUCUCUUUGCAAGGAACAAUAAAAGGCUGAAUAAUGGAGACCAUGAGCCUAUGAUUGAUGUAAUAAAAGAAGUUCUCAAUAUUUUGGCACUUCCCUUCUGAUGUAAAGUGUGUGCUAUUCUCAUUUAGUGGGCAAUUGCCAAGUAGAAUGAGAGAAACGUGUGUUAAUCCACCACUGUUCUACAGUGACGGCAGAAAGCAUUUGCUGUGUUUCCCAUUUGGAGCCUGUAGCCCCUUUGAUUCACACCUAUGUUUUCCAGAUUAUAUCUCUGCCAUAUUAUGUAUCUGGCACUGCCAUAUUCAAUUCAUACAUUACAGCCUGCCACAUAAUGUAGCUAUUCUUAUCCCUAGAGAGACAAAUGACAGGAUUUGUUAAUUGCAUUUUUAAAGUUAUACAAUGUCUGCCAAUCCAUUAGGAUCUUUCCUUAUGAGUUUUGCUUCUCUACUUUUAAUACUACCAACAUUUCCAUCUAAAAGAUAAAUAAGCUUCUCUUGAUAGCACCAAAUUCCCUACUUAUAUCCAAUGGUCUUUUCUACAUAAACAUUUCUAAGGGGAUAACAUAUUACUGAUCAAAAUGCUUCCAUAUUUGUUUAUAACUGCAGUUGGCAAACCAGGCCUGUGGGCUAAAUCUAGCCUGCCACCUGUUUUUGUAAAUAAAGUAUUACUGGAACACAGCCAUGUUCAUUCGUUGACGUAUUGUCUAAAUCUGCUUUUUAUGCUUCAAUGACAGACUUGAGUAAUUGCAGUCAAGGCCAUCAUGGCUCACAAGGCCUAAAAUAUUUACUCUCUGUCCCUUUUUAGAAAAAGUCUGCGAACCUUUGGUUUAAAAAAUCCUGUAUUCUCUUGUAACUUUGUCAGUAACAUAUGUUACAUUAUUGCUUUUUCUGCCUAGGGUGGAUUCUAAAUUAAUAAAAUUAUUAAGAACAGCCCAAGAAGCAAGUUUGGAUUUAAAAAGCCCAAAUAUAAUCAAAUCAGUUUUUGUUGCCAGGCCUUAAAGAUACAAUGAUGGACAAAAAUAGACAUAGUAUCUGCCUUAAAAAUUUUUACGGUUUAGAGACAGUAACUGACAAAAUAACUACAGUACACAGUGACCAAUCUAAAAUAGGGGAAGUAUAAUUUUCUGUUGCAGCAAAGAGCAGGGGAACCUUAGCACUUCAAAGAAGACUUUUCAGGGAAGUGACUUUUAAGUUUGGAGGCAAAUAAAGAAUCGGAACAGGUGUUGCAUGUGUGUAUCAAGGUGGGUAGAGGAUGGCAGGAUGUAGUCAUUAAAGCAAGCAAAGUGAAGAGCUUGGGUGAUGUCCCAAGAUACGAGAGGAUAGGAUACCAGGAAGCGCCACACAUCAUCAUGACUGGACCAUAGAGAAGAAUGAAAAACAGAGCAAGAGGUGAGUGGGAGCCACCUGGUUAUGAAGCACCUCCUACAUGUGAGGCAAUGGAAAGCCCUCAAAGAGUUUUGAUGAGAAAUCAGGAAUGUCCAGAUUUUCCAUUUCAGAAAAUAUUAUUCUGAAUAUAAGUAAGGAAAGGAUUACUGAAAACUUUUAGAAAGGGGAGCAGUUAGAAGACAGUGGCUAAAAUUCAGGUGACAAGUAUCAGUGGCUUGAAUUUGAUUAUUGGAGGUGAUGAGAGAGCUGUGGAGUUGGAGAACUAUUUCAAGAACUGACAAGUUUUAAUAAGUAUGUGAAUGUUGGAGGAAAAAGAGAAUUUUUAAAUGGUUCUGCAGUUUCUCUCUUGGACAACUUUGUGAAUGGCAAUGCUUUACUAAAAGCCCAACUGGAGUAGGAAUGUAGAAGAGGAUGAUGGCAUGUGUUUGAAGACACUGGGCUUAAGGUGUCUGUGUGAUGUUCAGAGAGAGCACAACUAUGAGUAGUUGGACAUUUGGCUCUGAAGCUCAGGCGGGGCCUGGGCUGCAGAUAAGGCACAGAGGUCAUUUGCAUUAGGGAGGUAAUUGGAACAUAAGGUGUGAGUCAGCUUAUCUAAGCAGAGCAAGCAGAAUUAGAAGAGAAGGGGACACUCCAAGCAAUCUCAAUGCUUUGAGGAGUUUUUAGUGAAAGAGAAGUCAUAGAUGGACUGAGAAGGAGUAUCCAAAGAGGCAAGAGGAAAAUAGUAUAGAAAAGGGCUCCAGAUGCAAAAGGAAGAACAUGGAUAUGUUUCAAGAAACCGAAUGGCUCAACAGCAGGGGGUGACGAACAAUAAAGCUGCAAAGUAAGCUUUGGAUCAGGCAAUGAUGAUCUUAAUGUCUUUGACAGAAUCACCUGCAGUUGGUAAGUCAGUAAUCAUUUCAUUAUACAGAUGCUCCUCGACUUGAGAUGAUGUUACAUCCCAAUAAACCCAUCAUAAGUUGAAAAUAUUGUAAGUUGAAAAAGCAUUUAAUACACCUAACCUACUGAACAUAAUACCUUAGCCGAGCAUGCUUUAAACAUACUCAGAACACUUACAUUAAUCUACAAUUGGGCAAAAUCAUCUAACACAAAACACAUUUUAUAAUAAAUUGUUGAAUAUCUCAUUUAAUUUAUUGAAUACUGUACUGAAAGUUUAAAAAAUGGUUGUAUGGGCACUCAAAGUAUGAUUUCUGCUAAAUGUAUGUAACUUUUGCAUAAUGAAGUUGAAAAAAUCAUAAGCUGAACCAUCAUAAAUCAGGGACCAUCUGUAACAAUAUAAAUAAUAACUUUAAGUUGAUAUAGAGAUUCACAAAUUUACAAAGAACAUUUUCAAAUAAUUUCUUAUUUCAUGUUCACAAUAAUCUCAUUAAUUAGAUGUGUCUGCUUCCAUUAUAGAGCUGAGGAGAGAGAGAUUUAAAAAGGUCAAGUAAUGCUUAAGUUGAAAUUUUUGAUAAAACGACAAUUAGAGGAAGUGCCUUUCGGACAUUUUCAUCAUAUAACAAAAUAGUAAGAUAUGAACGUUUUAGAACAUCUUCUAUGUGUAAGAUGUCACGCUAAGCAUUCACUUUGCACAAGAAGAUUGUAAUGUAGGUUUUAUUAACUCAAGUUAAGAAAGGUCCAGAGAAAAGUGGUUAACUUUUCCAGACUCACACAGCUAGAAAGUGGCAGAAUGAGACUUUGAAUUCAGAUCUGAUAGAUACUGAAGUUUGUGCUUUUCACUAUCAAAGCCUGCUUCACUGGCUGUUCAAGUUUUCUGGCAAAUAUCGCUUAAAAAAAUCUUAACAAGCUGUAUGUAUCCUUGAAAACAUUCACAUAAAUCCAAUAUUGAAAACGGAAUUAUCUUACUUUUUCUUUUAUAAUUUUAUUUAAUAGGUGUGUCUUCCAUGGGAAUUAAAUACAUUUAAAAUAUAGUAUUUAGUUACACUGAAGUUGUAUAUUGAAGGUAAAAUUAUUUGCUAAUAAAACAUUAACCACAGAAUUCCAUAAUGCAAAUGCUAUGCUGGAGACAGUGGCUGAGUCUAAAAAAAUAGCAGUAUGAAGAAAGAAAGAGAAGAAUGCUGCCUUUCUGAACAAACUUCCAAGGAAAAAUGUGCUUCCAAGAUGGUGACUCAGACAAAUCCAAAUCUCUUUCUUCUGCUUGACAAAUAUUUUCUGGACACCUUAGUUCUAGUAGUGAAGCUGCAUGUGGCUAGCAUCCAUUUCCACCACAGUAAUGGUAAAAACAAACUAUGUUGUAGAUGAAGUAUAAAACAUAUUUUUUCUUCUAAUAAACUGAAGAACUGGAGUAACUGUGAGAAAUUAAAACUAAAUUAGGACCUAGGUUGGUGGGUGUAUGGGAUUCAUUGCUGAGCUCUUUAACUUUCCUGUGUGGUCAAAAUGUUUUCUAAAAUAUUUUAAUU
Molecule: long non-coding RNA, 6108 nt
Organism: Callithrix jacchus (white-tufted-ear marmoset)
Lineage: Eukaryota; Metazoa; Chordata; Mammalia; Primates; Cebidae
Source: RefSeq, a predicted model, not a curated record